RNAcentral lists this long non-coding RNA (382 nucleotides) under Carica papaya (papaya). RNAcentral describes it as "long non-coding RNA (CPAP_LNC006975)". The record is from RNAcentral. Lineage: Eukaryota; Viridiplantae; Streptophyta; Magnoliopsida; Brassicales; Caricaceae.
CCUUAGGCUCAAGUGGUAGGACGCGGUAAGAUCUGUCAGUAUUGUGGCAGGGAUCAUGGGGACUGAUCGCGCUAUCGCCUCAACAACAAGUGUCGCAUAUGUGGUAGUGCCCAACAUUAUGCAAGGGAGUGCCCAAGGAACCAGAAUCAGGUCAGACUUCCUAUCCAGGGCAGAGCUUACAAUCUCACCCAGCAGGAUGCAGAAGCCAACUCGAACGUAAUACAGGGUAUGUACACUAUUUGUAACCAUCUUGCUCAUGUUUUGAUUAAUACCGGUGCAUUGUAUUCAUUUAUUUCACCUAUUUUUGCAUCAAAAUUUAAUGUAUUACUUGAUAAACUUGAUUAUGUAUUGUUUGUGUCUACUGCUGGGAGUAUGACACUAU